This 550-nucleotide ribosomal RNA is filed under the name uncultured Glomeromycotina. RNAcentral's name for it is "SSU rRNA". It matches the Rfam family "Eukaryotic small subunit ribosomal RNA", at positions 548 to 1098 of the family's 1831-position model. The record is from RNAcentral. Lineage: Eukaryota; Fungi; Glomeromycota.
UUGGAGGGCAGUCUGGUGCCAGCAGCCGCGGUAAUUCCAGCUCCAAUAGCGUAUAUUAAAGUUGUUGCAGUUAAAAAGCUCGUAGUUGAACUUCGGGGUCUACCCAUUGGUCAGGCUUAAUUGUCUGCACUGGUGAGAUGGAUCUCUACCUUCUGAGGAACUUUCAUGCCAUUUAUUUGGUGUGAUGGGAAAUCAGGACUGUUACUUUGAAAAAAUUAGAGUGUUUAAAGCAGACUAUCGUCUGAAUACAUUAGCAUGGAAUAAUGAAAUAGGACGGACUGAUUUUAUUUCGUUGGUUUCUAGGAUCACCGUAAUGAUUAAUAGGGAUAGUUGGGGGCAUUAGUAUUCAAUUGUCAGAGGUGAAAUUCUUGGAUUUAUUGAAGACUAACUACUGCGAAAGCAUUUGCCAAGGAUGUUUUCAUUAAUCAAGAACGAAAGUUAGGGGAUCGAAGACGAUCAGAUACCGUCGUAGUCUUAACCAUAAACUAUGCCGACUAGGGAUCGGACGAAGUUAAUUUUUUAAUGACUCGUUCGGCGCCUUACGGGAAAC